CAGCAGCCGCGGUAAUACGUAGGUCCCGAGCGUUGUCCGGAUUUAUUGGGCGUAAAGCGAGCGCAGGCGGUUAGAUAAGUCUGAAGUUAAAGGCUGUGGCUUAACCAUAGUACGCUUUGGAAACUGUUUAACUUGAGUGCAAGAGGGGAGAGUGGAAUUCCAUGUGUAGCGGUGAAAUGCGUAGAUAUAUAGAGGAACACCGGUGGCGAAAGCGGCUCUCUGGCUUGUAACUGACGCUGAGGCUCGAAAGCGUGGGGAGCAAACAGGAUUAGAUACCCCAGUAGUCCCUGUCUCUUAUACA
Molecule: ribosomal RNA, 301 nt
Filed under: uncultured bacterium
Lineage: Bacteria
Description: partial 16S ribosomal RNA
Rfam family: Bacterial small subunit ribosomal RNA
Source: RNAcentral